RNAcentral lists this long non-coding RNA (1031 nucleotides) under Ovis aries (sheep). Its description in RNAcentral is "lncRNA (ENSOARG00000026516.1)". The record is from RNAcentral. Lineage: Eukaryota; Metazoa; Chordata; Mammalia; Artiodactyla; Bovidae.
CUGGCCCAUCUGAUGUGUCCACGCAUCUCUGCACACUUCAUGUGCCGGAAGCUUCUUAAGCACCUUUGGGGAGCAGAUCAAUUCUUCCUUCACAGCUUUCAGGCCUAGGUCCCACCAUCCAUGUUCCCUCAAAGUGGAAGAGCCGCUGGAAGGCAGUAUGACAGAAGCCUGAUUAGGAGUCAGAGCUGUCCUACCAGCAGAAAUCCCGAACCUGCCAAGAAACCAUGCCCUCUGACAGCAUGGAGCUGUCUCCCCACUCCAGGACUCCCACAUGUCCUUCCCCCUGUCCCCCAGGACAGCUCUUCAGAGAGUUCUGUCCUCUGGACCGAGCCGAGGAAACAGGCAUCAGGGACCAGACCAGUGCUGGGAAAGCGGGACGCAGCUGGCUCCCAGGAUUCAUGGGAAUGUUGGAUCUUUCACCUCUGCCGUCUUCUCUCCCUCCUUCUUCAAGCACUGAGGUGUAUUCUGUCUUCGACAUCUGGAGUCUGUGUUCUCCAAUGGUACAACCUGGACACAGCGUGGGGCAGGGAGAGCUCCAGCUUUGGGCUUUGCUCUCCGAAGGGUCUGACGGCUGCUGCAGCCAGAAAGAGGGGUUCUCAGGGAACAUGAGAGGGAAUCUGAGCAAGAGACAGACCUCAAGGGAAGCGGAGUUUUCUCGACAAUCAGGAAUAAUGGAAGUUGAAUCUUGGAUUAAUUGUCUGAAUCUUUUGAAAAAUUACUGUUUCAUUUACUCAUCUGAAAAUCAUGAAAUUCUACAUUCUCUUGAGGGUGUGAGUCAAAUAGGCAGAAUGAAGUGGGUCAAACUGUCUGGAUUUCUUGGGAAGAGAGGGCUGAGGAGGGCCUUCUUUCUGAAGACUCAGUUCCAUGGGGGGAGGGAGAACCCCAAUUUCACAGCUGCCCAGCCCCUACCCCCUAGCCAUUCACACUGGAAAUGGUAUGAACUAGCAACAUACAGAUAUGUAGCUUGGAGACUCGAGGUGACGGAGUUGAGACACCCCUUUGUCUUGUCACCUAACUUCCUUUCUGUUUAA